RNAcentral lists this long non-coding RNA (1341 nucleotides) under Betta splendens (Siamese fighting fish). Its description in RNAcentral is "lncRNA (ENSBSLG00000023128.1)". The record is from RNAcentral. Lineage: Eukaryota; Metazoa; Chordata; Actinopteri; Anabantiformes; Osphronemidae.
AUGUGUGAACAACACCCUUGUGACAAAAUGGUGGCCGUAGCAGGUGGGUGGAGUUAUAUGGCUGAUCCAGGUUGGUCAAUUCAAUUCAGGUGGGUGGGGCUUAGUGCAGAUUCACAUAAAUACAGUCGGAUUUGUGAGGGACCUCCAUUUUGCCUUUGGACCCCCUUUGGAUCAGGACUCCUUUCUGCUUUUGGACCUUCUUGGAUUUGGACUCUUUUCUGCUUUUGGACCUCCUUGGAUAAGAACUCUUUUCUGCUUUGUUUAAAGAAAGGAGUUUUGGAAGACAUGGAAUCUCGAAAAAAUAGUUAAAACUGGGUGGUGAUCUCUCCACCAGGGCCAGUGGGCGAGGCCACAAAUGGCCUCACCCCCAGGCCCUAGUGAAAGAGCCCACCCCCGGCCCUAAAUCCACUGUGAAGGGGCAGGUUCCACCGCCCUGUCCCAUCACCCUGCCUGGCUGCUGACAGUCUACGGCUACGACGUUCUAACACGCCUGGAGGAGUACAAGGCCAGGAUCACGUCCACCUUUGGAUCCAUCCUGAAAAUGGCUUCAACCAGGAAGGUUUUUAUCGCAUUAAACUGAUUCUUGUGUCCACACACUUCUACCGCAACAAAAAUAUCUCUUUCCAGGUGACAAGGAAGCUCGCCGGUACAGCCUGUGACUGACACCGUGCAACCAACGUAGCGAAGGAGUAUUGGCAGGUCCUUAUGAGGGUCCUUACUUGUUCUGGGGGCCUGUCCAUGAUGGCAGCAGCUGGACUGAUGAGACGGUACCAACUCGCCAGGGAACGUCCCCUAGGGUCACCCGUGUGGACAGGACUGCUGCCUGCAAUAGUUAGGUGUGUCAAAAACAACGACCCUUGUUUCAUUUAUAUUAUAUAGAUUGUAGCCUGGAAGACAUAAAGAAAUAUAUGCACGCGUGUUGCACUGUCUGAUGAGGCACUUUGUGGCAGGUGUAACGACACAGAGCCGUGAGCUGUACCCAACCUUUAUUAGGCAGCUGUCACACGGCAUCUUCACAAAACAACAAAGGAGUGGCAACUCCACUGUUGGAGUGGAGGAGUCAGCAAUCCUGAUCCAGAACCUCCUGGACUCCUUUGGUGGACCUGCAGGACACAACUCUAUGAACAUCCCCUUGUUGAACGCAGCCAGUAUGGAAAGCAUAUGAACUACGCAGAUGUGCCACCUCAGCUGCAUCCAGGACCCGCCAUGUGUGCAGCUGCAGCUACUGUAUUAAUACUUAUUAUAACAAGAGGUGGUGUAAUUAGUUACUACUGAUCAAGUGACAAUAGAGAACUGAUAAAAUACUAAGCUGAAGCAAAUAAAUGAGACAGGUUUUGUUCA